AGCAGGGAGGAAGGAAGCUGCUUAGCAGCAGAGAAAAACCUGAUUCCUGAGGGAUUGUGGGAGCCCCACCCAGCUCACCGGAAUCCAGCGACAAUUCUGCGAUUCGUUUGUCACUUGAGCUGUUGUUUGUUUGUUUGUUGUUUUUUUCACAGUUUGGAAUAUAUUUCUACCAACAAUUUCUAAAUUGACUGGUAAACUCAGCACACGGUAAGGGUUUAGUCCCAGGAAAGCAAAAGCAGUAGCUACGAUAGGAAAGGGGGAAAAAAAAAGAGCCCUGAGACAGAAGAGCGCGUGCACACACAAAAGCCCAAAGGAAGGUCUGAAGAGAGGGCUUGAUCAGUAAAGUGUUUACUCCCCAGUUCAAUCCCAGAGUGUGCACAAGAGGGAGGGAGGGACCGACGGAGGGGGGGAGGGGAUGGGAAGGACGGGGGGGGGCGGGGGGGGGCGUGCAUAAAAAUUAGCAAAGCCUGGAGUGACAAUGUUUGCCUGGGGAGGGUGGGAGUAGGAGAAUUCCGGAAAGCUCCAAAGCCAACUAGCCGGACACAAAGAGACCCUGUGUCUAAGUGGCAGGUGAGGCUCAACUGCCAAGAUUGUCCUGUGACCUGAUUCACAACCCGUGCUCACACAGGCACACACAUAGCUCAUGCACGAGGGUGCACACACAAAAGAGAAAAAUAACUGGUAAAGCAAUUAUGAUGUCCCUACGGUUUCUGUAUACAUACAUACACAUGCGUACAGAGGCACGUGCACGCGUGUACACACACACACACACACACACACACACACACCAAUAUUACUACUAGGGAGUAUGCACUUCUCUCUUUCCCAUAAGAAAACAGGUUUCCAAAAACUUGCACACAAAAAAAAAAAAAACACUAUCAUUUUAAUGAUAAAUAAGAUGAAGACAUCUGUGAAAUAAGAAACAAAGAAGAACAAAGAAAUCACAUGUUGGGUCUACCUACACUCACAUGUCCACGCAUGCACACACAAGUUCAUGUGCACUUGUAUACUCAUGUGUCCACAGACAUUCAUGCACACCAAACUGUAUACACAGGCAUAUUCACAUGCAUACAUACUGACUGUGCAUAUAUAUAUAUAUAUAUAUAUAUAUAUAUAUAUAUAUAUAUACUGACUGUGCAUAUAUAUUUAUAUGCACAGUCAUACAUAUGUGCAUAUAUAUAUGUAUGUAUAUAUAUACAUACAUACACGCACACACAUACACAAGCAUGUGUACAUAUAUAUAAUAUAUGCCUCAAUAUGUAAACAUGUAUAUAUACACAUUCAUGUGUGCAUACUCAGACAUAUCCCUGUGCAGUAUAUGCAGGCACAUGCACACACAUACACAUAGCUGUACCCAAGCAGUUUCAGGAUCUUAGGUAGUGACAAACGCAUCAAGGUCCCUCCAGUUGCAUCAGAGCUGAGACCUGUCCUAGCAUAGGUGGUCUCUUCAUAUCCAGCUAUUUCAGGACAUGGGUAUAUCUGGCACAGCCUGCUCUUUUCUGGACUGAAUAAACUUCUAUCCCCAUUUCAAAACCACUAGAUGUCAUUUCCCCCUUUUUUUCUUAGCUGUGCCUAGCAUUUUACCUUGUUGCAGACAUUCACUUGCUGUUACACUAAUGGCCCCAAUGCAGUCACAUGUUCCCUGCCAUUUGCUCACGUGCAUAGCAGACAGGUAGGGAGGCAGACACCUUCUCCUAUAUGGCUCUGGGUUUUGUGUGUGUGUGUGUGUGUCUUCCCUUGGGGUGUCCAGGUGCUGCUGCACACCAGCAGGGAGGAUGGAGCAGAGCCAAGUUCUGAGUUCCAACUCUUCCUUGGGGUGCCCAGGCCCUGAUGCACUCCAGGUGGGAAAGGAUGAAAGGAAGUCUGAACAGAUGUUUGGCCUACAUGGAUGUCUCUGUACCAUGUGUGUGCCUGGCACUCUUGGUGACCAAAAGAGGGCAGUGAAUCCUUUUAAACUGGAAUUGAAUAUGCUUGUGAAUUGUCAGGUAAGUUCUGGAAUGAGACCCAGGGACUCUGGAAGAACCAGUGCUUUUUAACUGCUGAGCUGUCUCUCCAGGUAUAUCCUCACAGAUCCCGUUUUUUGAAAGUAUGUUAGAGUUAUACACAGCCAACAAACUUCAUUACUUAUACAAAUAAGCCAAAGCUACAAGACCCUUAAUUUAAGAUGUAUUUUCUUCCAGGAGGA
Long non-coding RNA from Mus musculus (house mouse), 2185 nucleotides. RefSeq annotates it as predicted gene, 34552. The record is from RefSeq and is a predicted model, not a curated record. NCBI's taxonomy places the organism in Eukaryota, Metazoa, Chordata, Mammalia, Rodentia, Muridae. The transcript has 2 exons.